AUGAUCUGGCAGACUCCGCUACUCUGGCUCCUGGUGCUCUGGGUUCAGGGCUCCAGUGGGCAGAUUGUGAUGACUCAGACUCCAGAAUCCCUGGCAGUGUCUCCUGGUGACAGAGUCACCAUCAACUGCAAAGCCAGUUCCAGUGCUGACGGAUGGGUGGCCUGGUACCAAAAGAAAACAGGACAAGCUCCUAAGCGCCUUAUCUAUGAUGCUUCCAGCCGUGUCUCUGCGAUCCCAGACCGGUUCAGUGGCAGUGGGUCAGGCACUGCCUACACAUUCACAAUCAGCAGAGUUGAAGCAGAAGAUGCUGGAGAUUAUUAUUGCCAUCAGAACUGA
Malaclemys terrapin pileata is the source of this 336-nucleotide non-coding RNA. Lineage: Eukaryota; Metazoa; Chordata; Testudines; Emydidae. The record is from the annotation of a RefSeq genome assembly.